This 241-nucleotide ribosomal RNA is filed under the name uncultured Actinomycetales bacterium. RNAcentral's name for it is "partial 16S ribosomal RNA". It matches the Rfam family "Bacterial small subunit ribosomal RNA", at positions 97 to 334 of the family's 1533-position model. The record is from RNAcentral. Lineage: Bacteria; Bacillati; Actinomycetota; Actinomycetes; Actinomycetales.
GGCGAACGGGUGAGUAAUACGUGAGUGACCUACCUUUGACUCUGGGAUAAGCCUGGGAAACUGGGUCUAAUACCGGAUACGACCAAUCUCCGCAUGGGGUGUUGGUGGAAAGCGUUAUGGAGUGGUUUUAGAUGGGCUCACGGCCUAUCAGCUUGUUGGUGAGGUAAUGGCUUACCAAGGCGACGACGGGUAGCCGGCCUGAGAGGGUGACCGGCCACACUGGGACUGAGACACGGCCCAG